ACGCCUAACACAUGCAAGUCGAGCGAGGUAGCAAUACCUAGCGGCAGACGGGUGCGUAACAUGUGGGAAUCUGCCUUUUGGUUCGGAAUAACACGGGGAAACCUGUGCUAAUACCGGAUAAGUCCUUACGGAGAAAGUUUUAAUGCCAAAAGAUGAGCCCGCAUUUGAUUAGUUUGUCGGUGAGGUAAUGGCUCACCAAGACUACAAUCAAUAGCUGAUUUGAGAGGAUGAUCAGCCACACUGGGACUGAGAUACGGCCCAGACUCCUACGGGAGGCAGCAGUGGGGAAUCUUGCACAAUGGGCGAAAGCCUGAUGCAGCGAUGCCGCGUGAGUGAAGAAGGCCCUUGGGUUGUAAAGCUCUUUUGUCGGGAAAGAUAAUGACUGUACCCGAAGAAUAAGGCCCGGCUAACUUCGUGCCAGCAGCCGCGGUAAUACGAAGGGACCUAGCGUAGUUCGGAAUUACUGGGCGUAAAGAGUAUGUAGGCGGCUAGAUAAGUUAGUUGUGAAAACCCAAAGCUUAACUUUGGAAUUGCAAUUAAAACUAUUUAGCUAGAGUAUGAUAGAGGAAAGCGGAAUACAUAGUGUAGAGGUGAAAUUCGUAGAUAUUAUGUAGGACACCAGUUGCGAAGGCGGCUUUCUGGAUCAUUACUGACGCUGAGAUACGAAAGUAUGGGUAGCGAAGAGGAUUAGAUACCCUCGUAGUCCAUACUGUAAACGAUGAUUAUUAGAUGUGGGGAAUUAUUUCUCUGUAUCACAGCUAACGCGUUAAAUAAUCCGCCUGGGGAGUACGACCGCAAGGUUA
This 803-nucleotide ribosomal RNA is filed under the name uncultured bacterium. Its description in RNAcentral is "bacterial SSU rRNA". It matches the Rfam family "Bacterial small subunit ribosomal RNA", at positions 44 to 896 of the family's 1533-position model. The record is from RNAcentral.